Molecule: long non-coding RNA, 570 nt
Organism: Lolium perenne
Lineage: Eukaryota; Viridiplantae; Streptophyta; Magnoliopsida; Poales; Poaceae
Source: RefSeq, a predicted model, not a curated record
UAAGCCGCCGGCCGCGGCGCUAACCAAUCAAGUCGAACUAUCACUCCGGCGGCCAUAGGUGCUAAGUACUAUGCAUCUAUGGAGAUCCAUGCGACUACGAUUCUGAGGAUAAAUCCGGUUGCUGACUCGGUCAUCGUUGAAUCGGAUUAGUGUCCGUCCUCUUAUUUUUCUGUUGAUCAUGGAUAUUGAGGUAUAUUUUCACUGAAUGAACGAGCCAACACGUGGAGGUGACGGAAUCAAGUUUGGCUGGACUCAUCUAGUAUAUGCACGUGUAGUCUUCUAUCAUAUUGGAUCUCCAGGGUAAAAAAUAAUGCUGCACACGUUAUCGCAUUGCAGGAUACUAUUUGUGAAGAUUUUUCAAGCGGCAUAGUAGAGAGAAAAGAAGGUCUGCAUAAGCAGUGAACCAGACAGAUGAUUUGGAGAUCUAACAGAUUUAAUCCCGUUCGUUAUGAAAAAUAUACAAAAAAGUUUAAUUGUACUGUUUGUUCAAAAAAAAAGUUCAAUUGUACUCUAUUAUUUAGUGCUGUAUGUAAAUCUUUGUAAGGAUGUACAUUUAACUUGUAAAGUGCA